GACGAACCGUGCGAACGUUAUUCGGAAUCACUGGGCUUAAAGGGCGCGUAGGCGGGCCAGCAAGUCAGGGGUGAAAGCCCACGGCUCAACCGUGGAAGUGCCUCUGAUACUGCGGGCCUCGAGGGAGGUAGGGGCGUGCGGAACUUCCGGUGGAGCGGUGAAAUGCGUAGAUAUCGGAAGGAACACCGGUGGCGAAAGCGGCGCGCUGGACCUCUUCUGACGCUGAGGCGCGAAAGCCAGGGGAGCAAACGGG
This 253-nucleotide ribosomal RNA is filed under the name uncultured bacterium. RNAcentral's name for it is "partial 16S ribosomal RNA". It matches the Rfam family "Bacterial small subunit ribosomal RNA", at positions 524 to 776 of the family's 1533-position model. The record is from RNAcentral.